CGUGGGUAACCUGCCCUAUACACAUGGAUAACAUACUGAAAAGUUUACUAAUACAUGAUAAUAUAUAUUUACGGCAUCGUAGAUAUAUCAAAGUGUUAGCGGUAUAGGAUGGACCCGCGUCUGAUUAGCUAGUUGGUGAGAUAACUGCCCACCAAGGCGACGAUCAGUAGCCGACCUGAGAGGGUGAUCGGCCACAUUGGAACUGAGACACGGUCCAAACUCCUACGGGAGGCAGCAGGG
RNAcentral lists this ribosomal RNA (240 nucleotides) under uncultured Peptostreptococcus sp. RNAcentral's name for it is "partial 16S ribosomal RNA". It matches the Rfam family "Bacterial small subunit ribosomal RNA", at positions 116 to 354 of the family's 1533-position model. Lineage: Bacteria; Bacillati; Bacillota; Clostridia; Peptostreptococcales; Peptostreptococcaceae. The record is from RNAcentral.